Long non-coding RNA from Bombina bombina (fire-bellied toad), 277 nucleotides. RefSeq lists it as uncharacterized. The record is from RefSeq and is a predicted model, not a curated record. Lineage: Eukaryota; Metazoa; Chordata; Amphibia; Anura; Bombinatoridae. The transcript has 2 exons.
CUCAGGAUCUCCUUCCAGCUUGCUAUGCUACAACUAAGAGCUGAAACAACUGUGCCCAGUAUCUCCGGCCGGUGCCAAAUUCAAGAUCAUAGAACAGAUACAGAUGGACAUCAUAUUAUAUUUUUAUUGUUCUGUCAACAUUAUUGUGCAUCUGCAUUAUACUUGUACCCUAGGCCUAUACUAUAAGUUAUUCUCUGGUUUAUUACAAUGUCAUAUUUAAAAUCUUUUAAUACCUGGAAAAUUUGAAGCCUAAUAAAAGUUUAAAUUACUUUUGUAA